RNAcentral lists this unclassified non-coding RNA (418 nucleotides) under Hevea brasiliensis (rubber tree). Lineage: Eukaryota; Viridiplantae; Streptophyta; Magnoliopsida; Malpighiales; Euphorbiaceae. The record is from RNAcentral.
AAGGGUUAAUUAUUGCAAGAUAUGCAUUUGCAAGGCGAUACCCAAUCACAAUUUCUUUUCUUUGACGUCCCCUAAUCAUUAUUUCAUAAUAACAAAGCUCUUCUUGGUCAAAUAGGUAAAAUUCUGCAGGUUUAAUACACAUCUCAUUCCCCUCCUCUGCAAAGAGUUCCUCUAGUACACGAUUUAUUUGCUUGUCUUCAGCCACCAUUGCCAGAGCCAUACUUACCAGUUCAUUUGACAGCACAUAGUCACUGAUUCUGGACACUGAGACCAGGUUCCUAGUCCUAGAAUCCAGGAUUUCACUAAUGAUUAUUGAUUUGUCUGAAGCUUGCUGUAUUUCACGGAUCCAAGAGCUAUGUGAGAAACCAGAAAACCGUAAAGAUGUUGACUUUGUAUCUCUACAAGGGAGAUGCUCUGG